UACGGAGGAUGCGGGCGUUAUCCGGAUUUAUUGGGUUUAAAGGGUGCGUAGGCGGACUGUCAAGUCAGCGGUAAAAUUGAGAGGCUCAACCUCUUCCCGCCGUUGAAACUGGUGGUCUUGAGUGGAUGAGAAGUACGCGGAAUGCGUGGUGUAGCGGUGAAAUGCAUAGAUAUCACGCAGAACUCCGAUUGCGAAGGCAGCGUACCGGCAUCCAACUGACGCUGAGGCACGAAAGCGUGGGGAUCAAACAGG
This 252-nucleotide ribosomal RNA is filed under the name uncultured bacterium. RNAcentral describes it as "partial 16S ribosomal RNA". It matches the Rfam family "Bacterial small subunit ribosomal RNA", at positions 524 to 776 of the family's 1533-position model. The record is from RNAcentral.